RNAcentral lists this ribosomal RNA (438 nucleotides) under Wolbachia endosymbiont of Aphis gossypii. RNAcentral describes it as "bacterial SSU rRNA". It matches the Rfam family "Bacterial small subunit ribosomal RNA", at positions 992 to 1428 of the family's 1533-position model. The record is from RNAcentral. Lineage: Bacteria; Pseudomonadati; Pseudomonadota; Alphaproteobacteria; Rickettsiales; Anaplasmataceae.
CAUACCUAUUCGAAGGGAUAGGGUCGGUUUGGCCGGAUUUCACACAGGUGUUGCAUGGCUGUCGUCAGCUCGUGUCGUGAGAUGUUGGGUUAAGUCCCGCAACGAGCGCAACCCUCAUCCUUAGUUGCCAUCAGGUAAUGCUGAGUACUUUAAGGAAACUGCCAGUGAUAAGCUGGAGGAAGGUGGGGAUGAUGUCAAGUCAUCAUGGCCUUUAUGGAGUGGGCUACACACGUGCUACAAUGGUGUCUACAAUGGGUUGCAAGGUGCGCAAGCCUAAGCUAAUCCCUAAAAGACAUCUCAGUUCGGAUUGUACUCUGCAACUCGAGUACACGAAGUUGGAAUCGCUAGUAAUCGUGGAUCAGCAUGCCACGGUGAAUACGUUCUCGGGUCUUGUACACACUGCCCGUCACGCCAUGGGAAUUGGUUUCACUCGAAGCU